UUCUCUUCUCUUCCCUUAAUUCCCUCAUUCUCCCAUUCUUCCCCACUAUCUUUGCUAACUCGAUCCAACCACCGGCAUAACCACCUUCGCUAUCACGUCCUCCAUGAAUUGGCGCUGAGGGUUUUGAUAGAACAUGAAAAUUACAAGGAAAUCAAAAAUCAAAGAUCAAAGCAACGGGUUUCAUUCAUCAAAAUUUGAGAUUUUAGUAGUUUUUAACUUACUCAAGACAAGAGCUAUUAUGGCUACGAACAAGGUGUUAAUUUCUAUCAAAUUCUCAAUCAAUGUUUCAGUUUUGCUUCAUCCUUUGAUUCUACUGUGAUUUGAUUUAUUGAUCAACUUUUGUUCUAUAAUCUGGGUGAGUGAGAUGAGAUCUAAAAUUGGAAAGGUUGAGGGUCCCGAGUUGGCUGAUUGGGUUUUUGAUGGUGGUCCCGAAGAGUCAGAAAAAUAUUUGUGUAAGUUUUGGAAUAUUUUUUUAGUGAAAUCCCUUUACAAUUUUGGUUUAUCUUAUCUGUUUAGGUUUGUUAUCUAGAUCCGUUUCUCUUUUUUAUGAAGCCCUAGUUUUCAAUAGCAAGCCCCGAUUCUCCGAAAGCUCUUUCUUCAUUGGGAAAGGGAACCAGGAAGAACCUGUUGUCACAUUUGAUAUGGAGAAUAAGAGUGCAGAUGUUCAUGUAUUGAAAUUUGAGCUCUCUCUUUUUGAGACUCAGAUUUUGGUUAAUACUCCUCAAGGGAUAUUAUAGAUAUCUUCAGGUUUGCUCGGGAGGCACAAUAUUUACAACAUUCUUGCGGCUGUGUCGGUUGGCAUAGCUUUGGAGCACCUUUGGAAGACAUUGUUAGAGGAGGAUUGGAGAAGUUGAUGGCGUACCAUGUAGGUGUUAGUUGAUAGAUGGAGAACAAGCAUUUGGAGUAAUUGUAGACUAUGCACAUACAACUGAUGCCUUGUUGUAAGGGAGUUUGCGCCAUGAAGAAUUAUCACAGAGGGAUAGAGGGAAGAGACCGAUAAUGAUGAAGAUAGCUACAAAAAAAAGUGAUGUUACUCUUUGAACUUCUGAUAACCCUAGGAAGGAAGAUCCAUUGGAUAUAUUGGAUGACAAGUUGUCUGGUGUAGGAUGGUCAAUGCAAGAACUUUUUGAAUUUGGUGAGAAUGAUUAUUACCCCACCUCUUCCCAAAUGGACAUAGGCUCCUCUUACAUGACAUUAGGCGUGCAGCUGUACGGGCCUCUGUGGCCAUGGGAGAGGAAGGGGAUAUGGUUGUGGUUGCCGGGAAAGGUCAUGAAUCAUUUUAGAUAGAAGGUGAAAAGAAAGAAUUUUCUGAUGAUAGAGAAGAGUGUCAUAAGAAUUGCAGUACGUCAACGAGCUUCACCAGGAUGUACUAGACACUAGCGUGGCGGUAAUUCACUCACCUUUUUUUCCAGAAAACUUCAGUUAUAUGGGUAGCAUAUGAUUCUUCACAUCUCCUUAGAAAAGAGUUUGAUUGGUUUAAGUCAUUAUUAUGUGCCUGUGUUUUGUUUGGUCUUGAAUGAUCUAAUAUAAAGUGAUUUGACCAUCUUCGAUAUUGGAAACUUUAAUUUUCGGAUAAUUUACAUGCACGAUUUUGUUGCACAUGCUACAGU
Molecule: long non-coding RNA, 1610 nt
Organism: Papaver somniferum (opium poppy)
Lineage: Eukaryota; Viridiplantae; Streptophyta; Magnoliopsida; Ranunculales; Papaveraceae
Exons: 5
Source: RefSeq, a predicted model, not a curated record